RNAcentral lists this long non-coding RNA (371 nucleotides) under Mytilus galloprovincialis (Mediterranean mussel). The record is from RNAcentral. Lineage: Eukaryota; Metazoa; Mollusca; Bivalvia; Mytilida; Mytilidae.
CUUUUAAAAUAUAACUGACAUAUAACGAUCGAUCGUAAUGGUGCUAUGUGGAUAAAUUUAUCAGUUUUCAAGAGCAAAAUUGGCAGAGCGUCAUCCCUACAAUGGCUUCCAUUUCUACGAUUGUGAGCAUGAACUGGCGUAAUGGGGAGAUAAUUUUGAAGAAGUAGAAUCCUGACUGUAUGAAUAACAUUUCUGUAUACAUUGUAUAUACAAAUUGACAACGUUCCGCCUUGUGAUACGCUUUUCGUACAAUACUAUUUUAAGGAUCUACUUUGCUGGAGCUCACCUUCACUAGUUUAUUCGAAUGAUAUUUUCAAAAUAUUUCUGUUAUUUUAUUUGCACGACAAAAUGAAAGACGAUAUAAUAUCAAU